Papaver somniferum (opium poppy) is the source of this 785-nucleotide long non-coding RNA. RefSeq lists it as uncharacterized. The record is from RefSeq and is a predicted model, not a curated record. NCBI's taxonomy places the organism in Eukaryota, Viridiplantae, Streptophyta, Magnoliopsida, Ranunculales, Papaveraceae. The transcript has 4 exons.
CUGCUUUCUUCUGAAACCUCCGCCGUGGUUUCUGCUACAUUUCCACCAUGAAACAAGAACAAAAGCUACGACGAAUAUGAGACCUAACAGCAGAUUUCAACCCAGCAACCAUUGCAAUUGCUUUCCAUUCCUUAUGCUACGGAACACUUGAGGCCUUAACAUCACAUUGCAACUCAGGUUUGUUUGUUGGUCAUAUGGACAACGCACCUAAGGCAUAAACACUUUAGUAGAGUAUAAGUGAAGAUUAACAAGGGACACAAUUUCGGUAUCCAUCUGGACAGCUGGGCACCUAAGUUAUAUAAGUCAGACAUAUGACUGUCUCCAGUGUUCUCAUAUCUGCGGUGGUUCCCAUUUACCAAUAGGUCUUCGCGUCUGUAAUGGAGUCACAACAAUUGCAACCACGGAUAUUGUGUCUUCUUUAUCCACGCCAAAGAAGGAAAGCCAUGAUUGAAGAGGAACAACACUGUGCUGUAAAGGAGAGAAUACAUGCUAUGGUGAAAUACACAAGGAACAACAUCAGAUUGUGCAAGACAAAUAGAAAAUGAUGGCAGACAAAUUUAAUGUAGUUUGAUUACCACAAGGAGGCCAAUAAGCCUGCGCUAAAAAGAAAUUCCCAAAAACAAUGGUAAGGUUCUUUUUGUAUCAUGUUAUCAUGCUUUUGUAACGAGAACUGUAUGUUUGGCUGGAAGCGAUGAUAAUUUCUUUUUGUAUCAUAUUAUCGUGCAUUUGUAAUGAGAAUCGUUGAGCAUAUGUUUAUUUAUUUUUCCAGAAUUUUUCGUACAAAA